Nymphaea colorata (pocket water lily) is the source of this 137-nucleotide small nucleolar RNA. RefSeq annotates it as small nucleolar RNA Z112. The record is from RefSeq and is a predicted model, not a curated record. The transcript has a single exon. Lineage: Eukaryota; Viridiplantae; Streptophyta; Magnoliopsida; Nymphaeales; Nymphaeaceae.
AGCCCAAUGAGGAAGCUCACCCAAAUGAUAGGAAGUGCCGUAUGACACAUUCCAGCAGCCGCUUCCCUCUUGCCCGAUCCCUUUAGGGGUCUAGGGUUCGGUUGCCGUGGUUGAUUUGUCACGGGUCGCUGAGGGCU